Molecule: ribosomal RNA, 669 nt
Filed under: uncultured bacterium
Lineage: Bacteria
Description: bacterial SSU rRNA
Rfam family: Bacterial small subunit ribosomal RNA
Source: RNAcentral
UCGAGCGGUAGCACAGGAGAGCUUGCUCUCCGGGUGACGAGCGGCGGACGGGUGAGUAAUGUCUGGGAAACUGCCUGAUGGAGGGGGAUAACUACUGGAAACGGUAGCUAAUACCGCAUAACGUCUUCGGACCAAAGUGGGGGACCUUCGGGCCUCACGCCAUCAGAUGUGCCCAGAUGGGAUUAGCUAGUAGGUGGGGUAAUGGCUCACCUAGGCGACGAUCCCUAGCUGGUCUGAGAGGAUGACCAGCCACACUGGAACUGAGACACGGUCCAGACUCCUACGGGAGGCAGCAGUGGGGAAUAUUGCACAAUGGGCGCAAGCCUGAUGCAGCCAUGCCGCGUGUGUGAAGAAGGCCUUCGGGUUGUAAAGCACUUUCAGCGAGGAGGAAGGGUGGUGUGUUAAUAGCGCAUCACAUUGACGUUACUCGCAGAAGAAGCACCGGCUAACUCCGUGCCAGCAGCCGCGGUAAUACGGAGGGUGCAAGCGUUAAUCGGAAUUACUGGGCGUAAAGCGCACGCAGGCGGUUUGUUAAGUCAGAUGUGAAAUCCCCGCGCUUAACGUGGGAACUGCAUUUGAAACUGGCAAGCUAGAGUCUUGUAGAGGGGGGUAGAAUUCCAGGUGUAGCGGUGAAAUGCGUAGAGAUCUGGGAGGAAUACCGGUGGCGAA